CAGAGGGUGCGAGCGUUGUUCGGAAUUACUGGGCGUAAAGCGCGCGCAGGCGGCCUUUUAAGUCUACCCGUGAAAUGCCGGAGCUCAACUCCGUGCACGCCGGGGGAUUCUGGGAGGCUGGAGACAUGUAGAGGCAAGCGGAAUUCCGGGUGUAGCGGUGGAAUGCGUAGAUAUCCGGAAGAACACCUGAGGCGAAGGCGGCUUGCUGGGCAUGAUCUGACGCUGAGGCGCGAAAGCGUGGGGAGCAAACAGGAUUAGAUACCCUGGUAGUCCACGCCGUAAACGAUGGGCACUAGACGCGGGUGGGAUCGACCCCUUCCGUGUCGCAGCUAACGCGAUAAGUGCCCCGCCUGGGGAGUACGGCCGCAAGGCUG
Molecule: ribosomal RNA, 374 nt
Filed under: uncultured organism
Description: bacterial SSU rRNA
Rfam family: Bacterial small subunit ribosomal RNA
Source: RNAcentral